UACGUAGGGGGCAAGCGUUGUCCGGAUUUAUUGGGCGUAAAGAGCGUGUAGGCGGCCAUUCAGGUCAGCUGUGAAAACUCGAGGCUCAACCUCGAGACGUCGGUUGAAACCGUUUGGCUAGAGUCCGGAAGAGGAGAGUGGAAUUCCCGGUGUAGCGGUGAAAUGCGCAGAUAUCGGGAAGAACACCCGUGGCGAAGGCGGCUCUCUGGGACGAUACUGACGCUGAGACGCGAAAAGCGUGGGGGAGCGAAACAGG
RNAcentral lists this ribosomal RNA (256 nucleotides) under uncultured bacterium. Its description in RNAcentral is "partial 16S ribosomal RNA". It matches the Rfam family "Bacterial small subunit ribosomal RNA", at positions 524 to 776 of the family's 1533-position model. The record is from RNAcentral.